This 453-nucleotide unclassified non-coding RNA is filed under the name Hevea brasiliensis (rubber tree). Lineage: Eukaryota; Viridiplantae; Streptophyta; Magnoliopsida; Malpighiales; Euphorbiaceae. The record is from RNAcentral.
AAAAAAAAGCCAAUAAUGAAGGUGGGAAAUUCCCACCUAGAAAGGGUGGUUUUCGAAGUGAGAGUUUUAGGAGUCGAGGAAACUUUAGUGGCGGUCGUGGCUAUGUGAGGAAUGAGUUUGACAAUCAGGGCGGAUCAUCUGGUGGUCAGUUCCGUGGUACUGCUAGACGCAAUGGGGAAGCUAACCAGAAAGUUUAUCAGAAUGGAGGAGGAAGAGUUGCCCGAGAAAUUCAAGGUCAAACUCAAACCCAAUCUCUUUCCCCACGUGGAAAGAACUAGUUUGUUGCUCUCUACUGAAUUUUGUUUUACUAGAUUUUUUUGGUCAAAUAUUCAGAUAGGCAAAUAUUUAGGCAAUGAGAUUGCGGCCUUGGCACAACUGAUAAGAGUAACUUUAAGCAUUUUGCACCAUCUAUUUAAGGCAGAACAUUUUUAUUAGAAAGAUCAUGGUUUUUUU